This 120-nucleotide signal recognition particle RNA is filed under the name Bacillota bacterium. RNAcentral describes it as "Firmicutes bacterium (anaerobic digester metagenome) partial signal recognition particle sRNA large type". It matches the Rfam family "Bacterial large signal recognition particle RNA", at positions 144 to 256 of the family's 256-position model. From Rfam's summary of the family: The signal recognition particle (SRP) is a universally conserved ribonucleoprotein involved in the co-translational targeting of proteins to membranes. Archaeal SRP consists of a 7S RNA and homologues of the eukaryotic SRP19 and SRP54 proteins. In most bacteria, the SRP consists of a 4.5S RNA and the Ffh protein (a homologue of the eukaryotic SRP54 protein). Lineage: Bacteria; Bacillati; Bacillota. The record is from RNAcentral.
CCCGUCAGGUCCGGAAGGAAGCAGCGGUAAGUGGAAACCCCUAUGUGCCGCAAGGGUGCCUGAUCCGAGCUAACUACCUAAAUAUCGUCUGGAAGACCACAUUCGACGAUAGGUGCACGA